This is a long non-coding RNA of Oncorhynchus masou masou (cherry salmon), 1695 nucleotides long. RefSeq lists it as uncharacterized. The record is from RefSeq and is a predicted model, not a curated record. The transcript is spliced from 2 exons. NCBI's taxonomy places the organism in Eukaryota, Metazoa, Chordata, Actinopteri, Salmoniformes, Salmonidae.
CAGAGCCCCUUGCAUGACAAUUGGAUGUUGCUGGCACGGACCGUAGCCCCCUGGAUUCAUGUAAAGGCUGGUUGGGUGGAUGCAGAUACAUGAAGAGUUUUUAAAGCAGCACCAUCCCUCCAGUCAUUUGACAGUCCAGUCCAUACCUCUUAGCCCUCUAGCCUUGAGAGAGCUGCUCCAUGCCUGAUAUGCCAUGUGUGGUGUUACUAUGGUGACCAGUGGUUGAAAGUAGAGCACCCCCCCCCCCCCCCUCCUCCCCCAAGCAUUCCAGGUGAAAUAAGCUUGUUGUGUCAUCAUCUCAAUUGUCUGGUUUAACUUUAACCAGGAUCAGUCAUUGCUCUUGUAUAUCGUCUCAGGGUGCCAAGUGUUUUAUUUCUCAAUUUCUGAAUUUGAAGCAGAUGUUUGUAACUUUUAGCUGGUUUUUAUGUUUGCUUUGAUGUUUUUGGCUUUGCUAUGGGUGUGUGAAAGUAUAGCUUUAAACUCUGGUUUUAUAUUCCCGAAGCUUAUUUCUACCAAUGCAAAUACUGUGUAAUGAGCUUGGCCCAAUACAGAUCAACCCCAUCAAGAGACUGCAGAGAGUACACAAUACAUUGGAGUACAAAUAUGAAUUAUGUUUUGGUAAUACAUUUCAUUAUUGGUUGGAUUUCUCUCAAGUUCUUUACCUCUGCAGUUUUUUUACAAGCCAAACACACAACAACAACAAAAAUCCAUGUAAUUUGAUUUGUUAACUGGCUUUGGUUAUUAGUUGGUGGAUAUUUUCUUGUUUAGUUUAACUUUUGUUUGUUUUAGUUUUUCUGUGCUGCUUCUCUGGGGAAAAAAAACUGUCUCUCCAACUCCAAAGGUUGUUGUUUUGAAAAGACCAACAAAACUUGCCUUUUUCACAAAUUGCUCAACUUUAUAAUACAGUAUACUGGUAUCCUGAUUACAUGCACAGGCCGAGACCAUUUUAGGAGUAAAAGAAAAGUUAAAUAUGUUUACAAAAAAGUUGUGUUUAUUCAAUUUGCCAUGUAUAUAGAAAUUGGUGGCUUACAAUUGGACUGAUGGUUAGUGUUUUUACGUUUGUAAACAGAAAACAGUGUUUCCUCAACUUGUCUUUUCAUUCAACUGGGGAUGUUUCAGAGUUACACGGAUACAAGUGCACCUCCGAUUUUUGCCUUAGAACUUGCAGAGGCCAUAGUUCACAUUCAAGUGAAGUGAGUGUAUGCAGGGGCCUACGCCCCCCAUUUCUGAGUAACCACCAGUGCGGACGUUCUCACACUUAUCUACCUGUGAAAUCCUUUUUGUCCAUAAUUGGUCAAUGACUGUAUCAGCAAACUGCAUCAGGUGUUUUUUUUACAUGCUUUUUACACAGAUUAUAUGGAUUAUUGUAUUAGUAGAUUUUGGUGCAUCAUUUUUUUAAAUGUAAUAACUCUUAAGCUUGUAGUCACAAAGUUGUUUUUCUCUCCCGUUUUUCUAGAAGACUGUUUUGUGUUAAUAUUGUCAAUUUGAAAUAACUGCUAUUUGCUUAUUCUCUACUUACCUUGUUCAUUUUUAAAUGCUACACAACCCCUAAUGAAUUCAAAUGACUUUAACAACCAUUGUAAAUACGGUGUUGCGUAAACCCCCUUUUCAUUAAUUUCAAUUGCUAGUGUUAUAUAAAUGACAUUUUUGUCUAGACACCAUUUCUGUUUAUGAAAUAAAGAAUCAUAUCGUGUA